RNAcentral lists this long non-coding RNA (280 nucleotides) under Vigna radiata. RNAcentral's name for it is "long non-coding RNA (VRAD_LNC004492)". The record is from RNAcentral. Lineage: Eukaryota; Viridiplantae; Streptophyta; Magnoliopsida; Fabales; Fabaceae.
CUUUUUGAACUUAAAUCAUUAUCAAUGGAAUGUGCUGAAUCUGGUUGCAAAGGUGGAGUGGCUUGAAGGGAGGAUUCUUGCCUUUCUGAACUUAAAUCAUUACCAAUGGAAUGUGCAGAACCUGAUUGCAAAGGCAGGGUGGCUUGAAGGGAAGAUUCUUGCUUUUCACAUGUAGAAUUAAUUUCAGAAGAUUUGGUAUGCUCAACUUUAACUUCACUUUUAUCAACCACAGAAUCUAGUUUUACUUCCUUUUUAGGAUCCAGCAGUGUUACAGAGAUAU